AUACUUAUCUGGCAUUAGAGAUACCAUGAUCACAAAGGUGGAUUUUCCAGGGGGCAUCUUAUCUAUUGCCUCUGGAUGUGCUGACUCCUACAAUUUCCCCAAAUUUUAAAAAUGAGGAACAUAAAGGGGUUUAAAUGGAAGUGAGGUUUCUACACUUCACUUG
Molecule: small nuclear RNA, 163 nt
Filed under: Microcebus murinus (gray mouse lemur)
Lineage: Eukaryota; Metazoa; Chordata; Mammalia; Primates; Cheirogaleidae
Description: U1 spliceosomal RNA (ENSMICG00000038430.2)
Rfam family: U1 spliceosomal RNA
About the family: U1 is a small nuclear RNA (snRNA) component of the spliceosome (involved in pre-mRNA splicing). Its 5' end forms complementary base pairs with the 5' splice junction, thus defining the 5' donor site of an intron.
Source: RNAcentral